UUCAUAUAUUUGCUGUAUUUUUUCUGUUUUUUUUCUUUUUGAGUGGUAACUCCCACCUGUUUGCCUCUUACUAUAGAUUUUGACCUUUAACACACAGAAAUCUGCAAUCUGCCCCUCUGCAUCAGACUCAGUACAGAAGUCCUGUAAGUAGACCACCCCUUCACAGCAAUUUUUGUUUUCUCCAUGAGCAGAUGUACAGUGAAAGUAGAGUGCCGUUCAACCAGAGCUAGCUGUAUUAGCUGCUGCUGAAAACUUUACAGGAGGAAAUAUUCUCAGUGAAAGUUUAUGUACAUCAUGGGAAGAGGGGACUCAAGUCAGCGCGGCUCUUGCUUCCAAGCUGCUCACGUGCUCGCAUGUCAGCAUCCGUGGGAAUGUCAUCUUGGCUCCGGGGCUACAGAUUUAUUGCUUGGCCACCAGAGGGUACCAGAGUUUUCUAAUGAAGGAAAAAACAGUCCUGAGGUCAAAGCAUACCUAUUGUUUCCUUCCAUUUCCCACCGAAGCUGA
Molecule: long non-coding RNA, 504 nt
Filed under: Cyanistes caeruleus (blue tit)
Lineage: Eukaryota; Metazoa; Chordata; Aves; Passeriformes; Paridae
Description: lncRNA (ENSCCEG00000013403.1)
Source: RNAcentral